Molecule: long non-coding RNA, 35391 nt
Filed under: Lactuca sativa (garden lettuce)
Lineage: Eukaryota; Viridiplantae; Streptophyta; Magnoliopsida; Asterales; Asteraceae
Description: long non-coding RNA (LSAT_LNC008069)
Source: RNAcentral
GUAAUGAUUAUGCACAAAGUCACAAAGACUUGGCAACAAUCAUUACAGAGUAUUCCAAAGGAGAUCAACUCCUUGGAAAUAUCCUUCUUGCAUUAAGUUUCCUUAAUCUUACACAGAUUGAAAAUUCUAACUUUGAAACAUUUCCAGAUUCCAUUUUGACUAUCACUUCUGAACAAGAGUUGCCUCCUUACAGAUUAUGUCAAUAUGGUCCUUCCAGAAUUAUCACUAUACUUCCAAUUGUCCUUGAGUAACCAAUCUUUGGUAAACCUUAGAUUGUCCUCGACAAUUGUUUAAUCCUUUUAGUCAUAUCCAGUUCUAAACCUUUUCCCUUCUUAAUGCCCCAGGCAUUUGGAAAAUUUUAGAACGGAUGAAUAUAGCACAUGUAAUCGAUCCUAUAUCCGAAGCAUAUGGGACACGAUUCAUGAUGUCUUACAUAAAGACUAAACCAGUCUUUUGCUAUAAUAUUUCCAUUUCAAUUUGCCAAGUUCUCAUAAUUCAGAUUAUGAAAAGGGAUGCCGUAAUCAUAAUCGAAUUUUAGAACGCAAAUAAUGGACCCAUAUACAGAAUUUCCUUAUGUUGAGCCAUUCCAACAUGAAAUUCAUAUAUAUCCUUGACUAAAUGAUUAAAACCUCACGAUCUAAGCUUAUAGAUUUGAGAUGAAGCAUAAUUUCCUCUCCCUUAAUUAUAGCAAAACAACUUUUUCCCAAUUGAAACUUUUGUUUUCUAUAAUUAACAUUGCUAACUUGCAAUACUUAUCAUAAUUAUCAUGCUCCCACUAACAUGAUGAUUAUUAGCAUAACACUUAUGCUCCCACUAGCUUUGACAUGUACUCAGAAAUCAGCUGGACAGUCUGAAAUUUAGAUUCAUACACCCUUUCCGUAGAUAGCUCACCUGUGUGUCUAAGCAAUUUCAAGAACCAUGAAAAGGGAUACCGUAAUCAUGGUCUCAAUUGCUUAGGCAUUUGCCAUUUCUCACAAGUCCAUGUUAGUGUGCCGGUUAACCACACGCGCUCCACUAACGACUUUUGAAAAUGCAAAUAACACAAUUGAUAUCUUCGUAAAAUCUACUUAGUGAAAGCGUUUCCUCACCAUCAUUUUCAUGAAUCGGAGAGAAACCUUAUGACACUUAGAUUUAUAUGGUGUAUGAGUUCCUACCCAUAUGAAUUUGUCAAACCAUAAUCACAAGACAAAGAUAAUGACAAAUCCAAAACCAUAUGGAUUGAACUCAAUCUUAACUUCUUGCCACCUGGCAGCUCAAGGGCCUGCCAUUGCUUCCAAGUUGUUAUGCAACAAACUGAGAACUCUAAGAACUCAUAUGCAAAGCCAACUUUAACUGGAAUGGGCACAGAUAUGUCAACACGAUAGGUUAUAAACCUCAAGUCGUGUGCUAGUGAAGAACUUUAGGUUUUAUUCUUGAUUAUUUCUUGAGACUUUCAAGACCUUUAAGACUCCCACUGUCCUCUUGACAUAUAAGACUCCCUUGUCAAACAUCCAAGAGAUAGUGCGGAUUCUAAUCAAGAAAAACACUUUACCCAAUUGGCCUAAGUUGGUCUUUGUUUUAUCCAAAACAUCACAACUUACCAAUUUCAAAUGUACAAGAGUAGAAAACUUUUACUCUUACAUUUGACAAGUGUUUUAAACCUUCUUUAAGACAUGUCACUCAAAUGACAAUCUUGGAGUAUGACUCUAAGACUUGUAUUGGAACGAAGUAUGACUCAUCUUCUUGAUUUAACCAUUUCAACAAUUCAAGUUCCUCUUCUUAGUCAUAAGAAUGCACUAAGAUUUCCUUAGAGAACUAAUUUUGAUAUGGUUUCUUAAUCAUUAAGAUGAUCACAAAACUGAUACUAAAGUACUCUCCCAUCUUUUCAGAUUUGAGAAACUUUUAUCCUUCUGCCUUAUUUGAUUCUUCUUAUCGAUCUUUAGUGGUGGACUUAAUCAGUGCACAAGAAUGUGUACUCGAUCCCUAAGUCCUUUACUUGACUCACACAUCCAUGUGAACAAGUAAUUAGUCUUAAUUUUCCAAAACUUGAAAGUUCUCAUUCAUCAUGCUAUACAACUUGCAUGAUUCCAAGUUCCGGUCCAAUUGAAACUUGGGUGAUGAGAAUCUUUCCUUAUUUGGUAAAUUUAGACAUUACCACAAAUGAAAGAAUCAAUUUCAUAUUUCCACUCUUGCUCUUAAUGGAAUCAUAUAAGCAACAAUUUUUCCUCAAAUGCCAUUGUAAGGAUAUUUUAAAAUAAAUAAAAAAAAAAAAAAAAAAUUUUCUUUUAUUUUAAAACUUUGCGGAAAAACUUAUCCUUACAAUCCAUAUGAAAACUUGUUGUUAUCUAUUCCUAAGCAAUAUCUCAUAACUCCUAAGAAGUAGCUCAAGAAUCCGAUCUUCAAACUAUGCGAUAGAAAUCCAUCUACGCCAUCAGAUUCAGCAUAUUCUUUCUUUAAGUUUCUUCACUUUUCUUUGAUUCUUAAAACAUCACCAUGUGACCCAGUCACAUCAUGUAUCAAGAAUCUCAGAAUAGAAACUUAACAGAGUUAGAUAGUGGACUUUACCUGAAGUAGAGUCAAACUUAUUGACUUUAACAUCCUUAGGUAAAUUUGGCAGCUUCGCAACCAAUGCCCCUUCCUUUGGCAAUAUAAACAUAUGGACCCUUUGAUAAUGGUACACGAGACUAUCACAGACUUAGCUUUUCUCUUUACCAUUUGGUCAACCGAGUUGACUAUGGCCGAUCCCUUUCCAUUGGGAAGAGAAUGCUUUACUGGAUAUCCAAUGUCAUCAUUGUCAAUGUCCAUAAAGUUUUAGGAAGUUGAUCUUAGCAAAUAGAUAAGAUCAUUAAGGGUCUUGUCAUAGUCUGUUUCAUAGGUGUCCCAAAGGAACUCACUAUGUGACUUAGAAAGUGGUUGAACCACCAACUUUCUCAAGACUUUGACACCCAACUCUCCCGGCUUGUCAAUAUGUGACUACAUCUCCAAGAUGUGACCACACCUAGACCUUGCCUUGCCAAUAGGGCCUGAGUGACCUUAAACUUUUCAAGAACUUGUGGGUUAGGGAGAAUAAUUUGAAGAGGUGAAGAAGUAUGAUAUCCAUGGGACAUCAUCUUCAUUAGGAAACCUUGUUUCAAGAGAUUUGGGAAGAUCAUAGGUGUCUAAACCAGACAUCUUUUGGGAGAUAUUCAAGAUAGUUGAUUUAAAGUCCUUAAUAUGACACCCAAUAUGAAAUAUUAAGGCUAGGACCCAACAAACUAUUUUAUAACUUAGAAGAGGUAUGCCGUAAUCCAAGCUAUAAAAUAUUUGAAGGUAGGUGAAUGACGAUUCACCAAUUUCCACCAAGAUAAACGAAAUGUAUUAUUAGGUUUUAAUUGGUUUUGAAACUCCUAGAUCUUUGAGAUUCAUUGAACUUUUCAAAGGCAUGUUUCAAUCUCGAGUGUGCCCUUCAGGUUUUGUGACUGGGAUGCCGAGGAUCACAAAACAAGGUGUGAAGUAACCAUGCAAAUCACUUGGUACCCUUAAUAAAUUACCCCUCAAUCGAUGUGCCGGUUAACCACACACGCUCCAUCGAUACUAUGAUAAAUAUUAAGUCACCCUUUACCUACCUUGUUAAGUCCAAGUUAGUGUGCCGGUUAACCACACACGCUCCACUAACGACUUAGACAAAGUGUAAAGUGUAAUUUCAUGGAUUAGCACCUUAUUCACAUUUUUCCUAAGUAACUAAGAUUGGGUAUUAUUAAGAGUUUAGUUACUUAGUAUUAUCAUUAAUACUUUUAAUGAAGGGAGAAUUCUAGUCCUGUCAAACCCGUUCGGCUAACGACCCUCCACCAGUCAAGCAAGCGGUGGGUGAGAGUGGACACCCAUUAAGUUGCCAUUUUAUAGGCAACAACCUUAUACCCACCUUAUAGACCGGCUUCGUGAAUGAGGCGUACUAGCGGUAAGACUGACUUUACUCUUAUACAUAUAUAUAUUAUUAACUUAUAAUAUUAUAAAGUAUAAGGGUUGAAUUUUAACUUUUAAAAUUCUAAGGGCUAACUUGGAAUUAAAGUAUUCAUAAGUGAAAACUUUACAAAUUCCAAAACUUGAGGGCAAGUUUUGAAACUAUUCAAAACUAAUUAAUUCCAUAACUUAUGUGUUUAAAGUAGUUUUAAUCCAAAAACUCUUCAAGUUCCAUAACUUGAGGACAAGUUAUGGAAGACUUUAAACUAAUAAAAGAAUUAACUUUUCUUUAUUUUAUAACUUAUGGAAUUAAUUAAGGUUACACCUUUUUUUAUUUUAUUUUAUUUUAUUAAAUGAAGAGACUCUUGGUCCUCCAUAACUUGAGGACAAGUUAUGGAGUCAUAAAACCAUUUAAUUAGAACUAGACUCUUCAUUUUUGUAACCUUUGCCAAUUUUUAUGAGUUUUAUGAUUCUUAAAUGUGACUUUUCAUAUAACUUGAGGACAAGUUACAAAAACACAUUUUAGAAUCAAUUCUUAGAUUAAUUUGGAUUAAAACCAACUAUCACAUAAUUUUAUUCAUUAAUCUAAAUUCACUCAUAAAACAAGAUAACACAAAAAACUUUUGGUGAUCCAUAACUUAUUCUUAAGUUAUGGAAUCCUUUAAAACAUUAACACCAAAUUUUGUAACUCCAAAAAAACUUUGAAUCAAUUUUUUUUUUAAAACCUUUUCAUAUCCAUAACUUAUGGAGGUUUCAAAAAAUAAAACUCUUUAGAUCAAACUUUUAAAACUAAUAAAAUAAUCAUAUUAUUUUAUCUUUUAUUAAAUUUGACCUAAUUCAACUCAUAAAGCAAAUUAUUCAAAUUUUACAAAUAAUUAGUUUUUCACAAGAACAAGUAAUUAUCUUAAAAUUUGACGAACUUCAUGUUUUUUUUUUUUUUUUUUUUUUUUCAACUUUGAAAAUAAAAUAUUUGCAUCAAUAUAACAGAAAACAACCCGUGGCUCUGAUACCACUGUUGGGUUUUGAGCAUUCUAACACUUCCUAAGUGUACAUGCAACCCUAAAUACCUUGGAUCUAUGUUUUCUCUAUUAUACAUGCAAAUAAGAACAUCCAAGGUAUUAUCCUAAUCUAGCAUACAAAAACUAUGAAUGCAACAAGAUAGAAUACAUACCUCUUGAUGUAGCUUGAUGUCUUCAAGCUUUAAGAGCUUAGCCCCAAUAGUGUGGAAGCCUCAAGUGGAAUCACAAAUCACCAAGACACCUUGGAAUACUUUAGAGAAUACGAUUACUUGGUUCUCUCUAGUGAAAUUGGCUAGCCCUUCUUUAGUGUAUCCACACUAGUGCCAAUUUCACCAACCAAAGACAUCUUUAUAUAGUAUGGAGGAUUAGGGUUAAACCCUAAUACCCAUGACCUUUCAUUUCCUAGGAUCCAUGGGUUAAACACUCCAUGGACUAUCCAUGAAAGCUUAGCCCAACCUAAAUGAACUUGGCCCAUUCCAUAUAUAUAAGAGUCCAUAUUUAAUUAGUUCCUUUUGAUCACUUAAUUAAUUAUAAAUUAAUUCUUGAUCAAUACUAAUUAAAUAAUAUGAUUCCAUAUUAAUAUAUUAGAACUUAUAAUAUAUUAAUAUUAAUCAUAAACAUACUAUUCUCAAAAGAUUAUCCAUAUAAAUUGUGUCGGUGAAGUGCAACCCAAAUGGACCAUGCCGGGUCGGGUCAAGUACAUACCAAAUAUAGUUAUGGACUUAGACAUUAAUCCAACAGAUGUGUUCAAUGUUAGUCUGUUGUCGGUGAUCAUAAAUCAGAAAUCAGGAAACAACACAUGAACAGAGAGUUUGAUUAAAAUCCAUGUCUCAGUUCAUAUGAUAUCUAGCAUGGAGGAAUAUAUGAUUCCUUAUCUAACGGACGUGUUACUGAUAAGAUUAGAGUUAACAAUUACUUUUGAAAGCUACGAUUGCUGAUCAGGUUCCAAAGUCAUAUGCAAACUAGUUAUUAGACUUAUCCAAGUGGGAGACUGUUGGAUUAGGUUUCUAAGCCCAUAACUAUUUUGUUAUGUACUUGACCCGAUUGUGAGCAUGGUCCUUUUGGGUUGCCUUCACCAUAGUAACUGAUAGGAUGAAUUAAGGAGAAAGAGGUUUAAUUAUGAAUUAUUAAUAUAUUAUAUGAAUAAUAUAUUAAAAUACGAAUCAUAUUGUUUAAUUAAUAUUAGUCAAGAAUUAAUAAGAAUUAAUUUUGUGGCUAAAAGAGAUUAAUUAAACUUGGGGGAUUGAUAUUGUAAUUAUAAGAAAGAUGCAUAAAUGGGCUAAUGGACUCCAUAGAAGUUGGAGUGGACGAAAUAUAUAGGGAAACCCAUUAGAAUUCGUCCAAGGCUUCUAAGGAGGGAGUCCAUGGGCUGCUUAGGGCCUAAGCAGUCGGAUUUGGGUUUCCUGGUUGAAGACCCUAAUAGCCUAAGUUAUAUAGAGUGUUGUUUAACGCUUAUAUAACAAUAAUAAUAAUAGCUAGACUAUUAAUUAGUCGCAGUUAACGCUAGAUAAACCCUAGUGGUAUUGAUACUAGGUUUUGUCGAGGGAAAAUUAUUUUGAGAUAACGAAGCGUUGUUCAAGUGUAGAGUUACCACCUAAUCAGGUGAGUGCAUAGUCACUUUCAGCUUACACAUAGAUAUGAAGUAUUUUAUAUAAAUUACGUGUUGUGUGUGCAUAUUAUCUGUAUACUUGCUAUCUAUGUUGGAUGAACGAUUUUACACAUGUUUUAAAUGAUUUAAAUUGUAUAUGUAUUUUAUAUCUACAAAAAUGUUGGGAUAAAACAUGGGUAGAUGUAAUAGACGAUGUGUGAUAAAAUGAUGAGAGGCCUCGAUGUUGUUGCUGUUGAUUUUGUCAUCUAGCGGAGUAUGGAUGACAACCAUGGACUCUUCUAGACAGUCCAGUGGAACACUAGCAGGCUCGCAACCUGUAGGUGUUUGUGAACAAUGUGUUCACCGGCGUACUCCAUCCCCUUCAUGGUUGCCUUUAGGAGAUUUAUUGUGAGGUGUGAGCACUAGCUUAUUUUAGGAAUUAUGCAUAAAAUGCUUUUAUAUGCUAAAUGCUUUGUGCCUUAUAUGUUGUUAUUUAUUCAGAUCUAUGGUCUGUUGCCGACCGGAUCUGGAAACCUUAUGAGUUUAGGAUUCUAAAUGUACGACUACAAUAUUAGAACUAGCAUGUAAAAGUUUCGGAGAGAUAAGGAUGAUUUAAACAUCUAUCAUAAAUAAAGAUCUAAAUUCACCUUAUUUGGUGUAUAGAUCAAAAUGACGAGAACCCGCAGUGGAGCUGGGAAUGUGAAUGGGAAUAGGAAUCAACCCCUAGCGAUUCAGAAAAUACCUGUCGUAGCAGAUGCCCCCGAACCAAUUACCAUCGUUGGAGUACAAGCCAUGAUUUGAGCUAUGUUAGCAGAUCAAAGGGAGGAAAUUAGGCAGAUGUUGCAUGAAAAUAGGGACGAACCUACUAUGCCCAUUGAGCAACCCGAGCUGAUUCCUGAGCAAUCGGAAGAAGGGAACUAUAGACGCCAUGUCAGUCAAGUUGGGACUCAAGAAGAAUGAAGGAAUAACCCGGAGAAGGGAAACGACAAGGAUGGGUGAAUGUACAAGAAUUUCUUGGGUGCGAAACCAUCGAGUCUCUCAGGAAGCCCAAAGCUUGUUGAGAUUAUGGACUGGAUCUCCGAAAUGGAGAUGGUGUUCGAGAGUUGCGACUGUAGCAAGAAACAGAAGAUCGUCUUUGCUGUAAGACAACUGAAAACCGGAGUCUUGAGUUGGUGGAAGCUAUUGGCAAAUACAAUGACGCGAGGAGAAGCCCUGAAUAUGUCAUGGGAUGAGUUCUUGGAACAACUGAAGAUGCAAUACUGUUCAGAGAUUGAUCUGAUUGAUUUGAACAAUGAGUUCCAAAACUUGAAGAAGGGAAGGAUGAACGUUGACGACUAUGCUACUGCAUUCACUAAGAAGAUGAAGUUAUUUCCAUACCUGGUGCCAACCGAACUCUCCAAAAUUGAGAGGUUCGCAAAUGGAUUGCCAGCCGACUUUGGCCCAACAGUCAAGAUGGAAACCACUCUGAAAUCGGUUGUUCGUGCAGCUAAGAAUGUGGAGACCCAGUAGAAGGAAAGGGGUCUGGAGAGGGCUGAGGUUGGUGAGAAAAGGAAAUUUGGCGGGUCCUCGAGGUCCGGUAAGAAGAUUAAAUUCUUGAAGUCUGGUUUGAGAGGAGGAGGAGCCGAAGCAAAAUGGUGCGACAAGUGCAAGAAGAAGCACCAGGGGAAAUGUGACGUAGGAGUCACUUUUUUUAAAUGUGGAAAGCCCGGGCACUAUGCUAACGAAUGCACGUUCACUAAGAAGGUCUGUUAUGAGUGCAACGAGCAGGGGCACGUUUCGAGGGACUGCCCAAAGAAGAAGGAGGCAGGAAGACCUAACAUUCCACCAAAGCCGAAGGCAAGAGCCUUCCAGAUGACGCUCGAGGCUGCAAAGGAGGCAGUAGAUGUCGCUUCAGGUACCUUUCUUGUAAAUGGUUUGCCUGCCAAUAUGCUAUUUGAUUCCGGAGCCAACUACUCCUUUGUGUUGCAUAAAUUUGGUGGGAAAUUAGCAUUUCCUGUAGAAAAACUUGAUAAUGCUCUGACUGUAGAAGUUGCCAGUGGAAAAUUCGUACUUGUUAGUGAACGUAUUAGGAACAUCGUCAUCGACGUAAACGGAAACGAAUUCCUCGUGGAGCUAUUACCCAUAGAGUUAAACGGUUUAGACAUCGUUUUGGGAAUGGAUUGGCUUAGCGCCAACGAUGCCGAGAUAUAAUGCCAAAAGAAGAUAGUAAGAGUAAACCCACCCAAAAAAGAGUCAUUAAUGGUGUACGGGGACAAAUGCAAACUGAAUUCUGGAAUCAUCUCCGUGAUGAAAGCCAGAAAAUGUUUGUCCAAGGGAUGUAUAUCAUAUUUGGUGUUUGUUAUCAAUGCUAAGAAGGAAAAGAAGGAGGUGCAAAACAUACCGGUCGUAUGUGAUUAUCCGGAAGUCUUUCCCGAAGAUCUUCCCGGAUUACCACCUGAUAGACAAGUGGAGUUUCGGAUAGACUUGUUACCAGUUACAACACUGAUAGCAAAGGCACCUUACCAAUUAGCACCAACAGAGAUGAAGGAGCUUAAGACGCAACUUCAAGAGUUAUUGGAAAACGGUUUCAUUCGACCUAGUUCAUCACCCUGGGGAGCUCCGGUGUUAUUCGUGAAGAAGAAAGACGGAAGCAUGAGGAUGUGUAUAGACUACCGAGAGCUGAACAAGGCAACGGUAAAGAACAACUACCCAUUACCUAGGAUUGAUGACCUAUUCGAUCAGCUGCAAGGUUCAAGCUAUUUCUCAAAGAUCGAUCUGAGGUCAGGAUAUCAUCAGUUGAAGGUGAGAGAGUAGGAUAUUGAGAAAACUAUGUUCAGAACAAGAUAUGGACACUAUGAUUUCUUGGUUAUGUCGUUUGGACUGACCAAUGCUCUAGCAGCAUUCAUGGAUUUGAUGAACAGGGUUUGCAAACCAUUCCUCGAUAAAUCCAUGAUAAUGUUCAUCGACAACAUUCUGAUUUACUAAAAAAGCCAAUAGGAGCAUGGCAAGCAUCUACGAGAAGUGUCGGAAGUAUUAAAGAAGGAGAAGCUUUACGCUAAGUUCUCCGAGUGUGAUUUUGGAUCCGAGAAGUCCAAUUCUUGGGUCAUGUGGUUAACCAGGAGGGAAUAAUGGUUGACCCAACAAAAAUCGAAGCUGUAAUGAAGUGGAAACGUCCAAAGAGUCCCACGGAGAUUCAAAUCUCUCUUGGAUUAGCUGGAUAUUAUCGACGAUUUAUCCAAGGCUUUUCUUUGAUAGUUGCUCCAUCGACAGCUUUGACCCAUAAAGGAGCUACAUACACAUGGAGUGAGAAGCAUGAAGAAGCGUUCGAGAAGCUAAAAAAUAAGUUAUGCGAAGCACCGAUACUUUCUCUACCCGAUGGAGUUGAAGACUUCACAGUAUACAAUGAUGCAUCUGGAGUCGGGUUGGGUUGUGUUCUGACCCAAAGAGAAAAGGUGAUAGCAUACGCAUCUCGACAAUUGAAGGAGCACGAAAAGAACUACCCCACUCAUGAUCUGGAGUUGGCAGCGGUAGUAUUUGCCUUAAAGAUAUGGAGGCAUUACCUCUAUGGCACAAAGUGCAAACUCUUCACUGAUCAUAAGAGUCUCCAGUAUCUCUUUAAUCAGAAGGAAUUAAAUAUGAGGCAACGACGCUGGCUGGAAUUACUCAAAAACUACGAAUGUGAGAUACUUUACCACCCCGGUAAAGCAAAUGUUGUCGCUGAUGCUCUCAGUCGAAAAGUCAACCUUGAGAGAAAAAGGCCAAGAGCCUUGAGAAUAGAAGUUGUCUUGACGAUUGUGGAAAGUAUCAGGAAAGCUUAAGAAGAAGCUUCAGAAAAGGGUGACCGAAAAGAAGAACGUUUGGGAAAAACGUUGGUGUUCGGUACAAACCGUCAAGGACUGAAGGUGUUCCAAGAUCGGAUAUGGGUAUCUAAGAAGGGAGGAAUAAAAGACCUGAUGGAAGAAGCGCAAAAGACCAUGUACUCGAUUCAUCCCGGUAGCACUAAAAUGUAUAGGGACCUAAAACCCUACUACUGGUGGCCGACGAUGAAGCUCGAUGUUGCGAAGUAUGUGGCCGAGUGUGUAACAUGUGCGAGAGUUAAGGAACAACAUUAGAAAUCGUAUGGGAGUUUAGAACCUUUACCUGUACCCAUGGGUAAAUGGGAAGACAUCACCAUGGAUUUUGUGACUAAACUGCCCCGGACGAAGAACGGUCACGACAUGAUUUGGGUAGUCAUGGAUCGUUUCACUAAGAGUACACACUUCAUAACAGCCAACGAAAGGUGGUCUAUGGAUAAGCUUGCAAAUUCUUACGUGAAGGAAAUUGUGAGGCUUCACGGUGUUCCUCUAACGAUUGUAUCAGAUCGUGAUAGUCGUUUCACGUCAAGGUUUUGGAGAAGCCUACAAGAGGAAUUGGGUACGAAAUUGUGUUUGAGUACGACUUACCAUCCACAGACUGAUGGUCAGAGCGAAAGAACGAUUCAGACACUGGAAGAUAUUCUGAGAGCAUGUACCCUCGAGUUCCAAGGGAAUAGGGACGAGCACUUACCUCUAGUAGAAUUUUCCUACAACAAUAGUUUUCACUCGAGCAUCAAGAUGGCGCCCUACCAAGCUUUGUACGGACAAAAGUGUCAUACGUCGUCUUGUUGUCUUAAAGCCGGAGAGAAGCAGUUUAUGGGCCCCGAGAUAGUCCAUGAGACUGCUGAGAAGUUGAAAGUGAUUAGUGAAAGGAUGUUAGCAGCUCAGGAUCGUCAGAAGAGCUAUGCUGACAAGAAAAGACGACCGAUGACCUUCGAAGUUGGGGAUUCGGUUUUGCUUAAAGUCUCACCGUGGAAGGGACUUAUAAGAUUCGGGAAAUGGGGAAAGCUGAGUCCAAGGUUUAUUGGACCGUUCAAAGUUCUUCAGAAGAUUGGGAACCAAGUUUACAUGCUCGAAUUACCCAAAGAACUAGAUGGUAUUCAUAACACCUUCCAUGUGUGUUAUUUGAGAAAGUUCACGGGAGAAGUUCCCGACAUAAUUCCAAUCUCAGAAUUAAGAAUGGAUGAGAAAAAGAGGCUGAUUGAAGAGCUCGAGGCAAUUGUUGACCGUAAGACAAAGAAGUUACGAUGCAAGAUGAUCGACUUAGUGUUAGUCAGUUGGAAACAGUUGAAUGGGCCAAAUCUCACCUGGGAAAUAGAGAGUGACAUGAUGAGUCGCUAUCCGCAUAUGUUUGCUGAUGCAUGAUUCCGGGACGGAAUCAUCCUAAUGGGGAGAGAAUUGUAAUGCCCGUGUUUCAGGGCUAAGCAUUUUUAGACAAUGUAAUUGUCAGGUCAACUAUUGUAACUCUUUUUGAAGUAAUAAAGAUGAUACAUUUGAAUACUAUGUGAAUUAUGUGUAUUUAUGUCCUUAUUACUUGUUUAUAAAUGUAUAAUAAAUAAAGGAUAAAAAUAAGCGUCAAAACUAAAGUGUGAGAUAAAACUGAUAGCUUUACAUAAAGUUGUAGUGGUCGAAAGAAGUUAUGACCCGUCGAAGUUUCGCGAUGAAACCGACAUGAUACCAGGAAGCGUGAAUAGUGAAUUUACGAUAGAGAGAGUAUUAGCUAUAGCGAUCAAAACGAAAGUCGUAUAAUACAUUAAACGAAGACCAUCCAUAAAAAAAGCCCAAAUCUGACUUCGUAUGAGGAAGUUAUGAUUUUUCGAAGUUUCGGCUUAGCAGUGUACAACCCGAAGUUCAAAUAUUAGAACGAGCAGUUUUUAGCCGACACAACCUAAAUGAGAAUCGAAGAUUUCGUUAUUUGUAGCAUAAUGACAAAAAUACAGACGAAAACGGACGUCGGAUGAAGAAGUUAUGAAUUUUUAACAGACCAAUCCUGUCUCGGCCUGUUAACAAUAUAACUUUUAAAAUAGAGUCAAAAUUAGUCGACGGAGUCUAAACAAAAGGUGUAGAGUACGUUCCCGCCUUCGUGUGGAUAUAAAGAACGUCAAAAACAAAGUUCAUAUGAGGAAGAUACGAAAUUUUGAAGUUCAUACUUGAUUUUGCGAGAUCUGAUACGAAGUCGCUGACGUGGCACAUUUCUAGCCGUCCGAUGAACUCACGUUGGAUGAAGACACGUCGCCUCGCUUCGCUCUAUGCCCCGCGUCUGAAGUUGGUACGCCCAGUGUACCUUCGGUCCUUAUCCUCUUCCGGUGUGCGAGACAGCUGGACGCAGCUGGACCUUAUCAGAAGACUACACCCAGUGUAGCCAAGGACUACGCCCAGCGUAAUCCGAGGCCUCACAGACUAUAAAAGGGGGCCGAGAGUUUUGAGUUUUUCACACCAAUUCUCUUUCUCUCUCUGAUUUAUUUCUCUCUCUAUUUCCCCUAAGCCUCCCUAAACCCUAGGGAACCUCCCUAGCACCCAAAUGAAGCCCCGAGGCUCCUGGAGUCUCGAGAAAAAAGGUCUUUGGGUUCGGAAACGCUGCUCCAAGCGAAGCCCGGUUUUCUUUAAAAUCCGCUGUAAGUGAGCUACGCCUAUGAAAAUUUUAAUAUAGAUUUUAAAUAAUUAUAGUAGUGUUAUUAGGUCCUUAACAUAAUUAUUUGGGCUAUUAUUAUGAGUUAUAUAGAGUGUUGUUUAACGCUUAUAUAACAAUAAUAAUAAUAGCUAGACUAUUAAUUAGUCGCGGUUAACGCUAGACUAAACCCUAGUGGUAUUGAUACUAGGUUUUGUCGAGGGAAAAUUAUUUUGAGAUAACGAAGCACUGUUUAAGUGCAGAAUCACCACCUAAUCAGGUGAGUGCAUAGUUACUUUCAACUUACACAUAUAUAUAUGAAGUAUUUUAUAUAAAUUACGUGUUGUGUGUGCAUAUUAUCUAUAUACUUGCUAUCUAUGCUGGAUGAACGAUUUUAUACAUGUUUUAAAUGAUUUAAACUGUAUAUGUAUUUUAUAUCUACAAAAAUGUUGGGGUAAAACAUGGGUAGCUGUAAUAGACGAUGUGUGAUAAAAUGAUCAGAGGCCUCGAUGUUGUUGUUGUUGAUUCUGUCAUCUAGUGGAGUAUGGAUGACAACCAUGGACUCUUCUAGAUAAUCCAGUGGAACACUAGCAGGCUCGCAACCUGUAGGUGUUUGUGAACGAUGUGUUCACUGGUGUACUCCAUCCCCCUCAUGGUUGCCUUUAGGACAUUUAUUGUUGAGGAACCCUCUUAGCAGUAGUGUCCAUCCCGAUGAUGAUCCUUAGGCUAGGUCCCUUAUGAUAGGUGUUUUAGGGACGUAAAGUGAGGAUAACGGGAACGGGUAAUCAGGUUAUUGUUGGUUGAUGAAAUUAAAUAACUUAUUUAUUGUGGGUUAAAAACCCUAUGUGCUCACCAGGCUCCCAAGCCUGACCCACUCAGUUUCAUGUAUUACAGGUAGUGGCGCUCGAGCAUAGAUGUGAUGUUUUGGAUGAGGGAUUACGGAUAUAGGCCUGUAGAUAUGAAAUAAUGUAGUAAGGCUUAUAUUGUACUGUUUAUGCUUUUGAUCUGUAUCGCACAUGAGAUCCCGAGUCUUUUAAUGAAAUACAUUUCUUUGGAAACGCUUUUGAUAAAUCUUUAUCAUAUUUUGUUUUGGGACAAAUUCCGCAACACUUUUAUUUAAAAUGUUACUAUGAUUUUCAAACAAGCAUAAACAAAAUCGGUCUUUUCUGGCCGUGAAAAUGGGGAUGUCACACAUCCCUAGACUUCGGGAAUAAAUAAUACACAUAGGAUGAUCUUCCGGAUAUGGAUCACACAAAUCCAAAGAGAAUCCUGAAUUUCCGCUGAAGAUCUCCAAAAUUUCCCAACCAUGACCACUUAUCACUAAGGAUCCCUUACAAGAGCAUAAAUCAAUACUGACUUAUGAUCCCAAAACAUACACUCCUUGCCUACACUUCCAACUGCCAGACUGGUACCCGUACUGCUAUAAACCAAGAACACGGACCCUUAAUCACAUCACAAGGCAUCUAUAAUACAUCAAACCAUCUGCACGCCACCGCGUUGACAUCUUGUCUCCAAAAACUGCGACCAGCAGACCCUGCGUUGGGCUUACACCUUGAAGGUCACAAGCCUACUCACUUCUUCCUUGAACUCGGAAAUUGAAAGGGUAAAAUCCCCAACAUAGAUAGCGACAUACCAACCAUAAAUCAACCAUUCUACUUUCAACUGCAAUCCCCAAACCGAUCAUAACGGUCGAUCCAUCCUCGAGCCCCAUGACUGAAAUGCAUGGUCUUGAUCAGAACCCUCGAGACCUCAAAACCAACAAGCUCAUCUAGGUUUGCAUCAAUCAAUCCAAAUCAAUUUCGCCACUGGGGCCGAACCAUUCCAUACCCAUCCUUAUGUCUGAGCGAUCAUAACCAAAGAUCAACAGAUACAGAGCUACUGCUACGAAUAAUGGUAUCAAACCAUGCUAAUCUCUCCCGACCGGUCUUUAGAAUCCCCCAAAACCCUCCUCGAUUCGAGUAUGGAUCCUAUGCUUCCAGUAGUAUGGGCCCAAUACUACCUUCCACACCUAUCUAUACUUUCCUCACGGAUCAUCUCGGGUCCUCUAAGACCUACUUAUGAUAAUACUCCCAAUACCCACUCAACUGCGAAACAACAGCAUUAAAAUACUUCCUAGGCUCUCCUAUGAUCCCCCAUCUCCCCUACCAUCAGCUGUUGAAGAAUUCAUCAUAAUGUCAGUUAGCUACUUCGUGAACACAAUCACAUGUAAUAAAGCUCAGAUAAUCCUUCAAGUAAAAGACUCAUCCCUAUAACGGUUGGACUCAGACAAGCAAUAGGGUCAUACCCAUCACUUUGAUAUUAUUCAAGCUUGAUUACAUGUGACCUUACAUAUUCACUUAAUAGCUAAAUCACAUCACUUAAGAGACCUACAAAGCACAAAGCAAGCAACAUUCGAGUAAUGGAGUCGACUGGCACUAAAACAUAAUAAAAUCACAAGAAUUCUCAUACGAAGUUUUGAUCUCUAACUCCCAACAUCCCAGAUACAUACUAGCAUACUCAUGCACUCCAUCCUCACUCCUUAGAGGAAGGAUAAACAUAUCGCGACUGGCCGGCUAACCCCACAUAACUCAUCCUAGCACCAACUGCCCCACGACCCUCAAUUGGUGCAAGAUAACUAUCGCAUGCACACUAUCACAUACUACAUAACUUAAACAAUCUUAGGCUAAAAGAUUCAAUCCUGCAACGGUUAGACUCAGACAAGAGCUGGGCAACAGGACCAAAUCCCUUAACCUAAGGCCAUUUAACUCAUGCAGUAUGUGACUUAGCGCAUUCACUCAAUAGUUAGAUCACACACGAAAGAUUCAUACAACAAUCCAUAAGGCAUUCUAAAAGAGAUAAGGCAUCAUAUAAUCAGGCAAUUCUAUCAUGCAAAUUCCUGAAGAUCCUUAGCCUAUCACUAGCAUGUUGUUCUUACAUAUCACAACAUAAUAUCAAAUAACUGUGUGGUAAUUUGGGGUCUACUUACUGGCUCCGGCAAAUUGUACACAUCGCAUCCUCCUUGUUUAUUUUAAAAACCAUUUGAAAAUCAUUUUUAAAAUCUUUUUCCUUAAUUUGAGAGUGGAUUCACACGAGUGUACCUCCAAUUCACUCAAACUAAGGCUCUGGUACCAACUUGUAACAUCCCAUAAAUUUCAACUUGAAACCAAAAAACAACCCAUUUAUUAAUAAAAGUUUUUACAAACUAUUAUUUCCAAAACAUUAAUCAAAAUCAGAGUCUUCCAAGAUCCAAUCAGUUGUAAACCAAGGUGGCGGUGUUCAACGGCAAGGUAGCAGGUGGUAGAGUGGCGGCCGGACUCGGAAGUGCAGGCGGUGGCUGAGAAAGCUCCAAAAAUGGUGGCGGCUGGAAAAAUGAGCUAGUGUUAGGGAUCAUAGAAAAGGAUGAUGAGGGGGAAGGAAAGUGGGUUAAUCCCGUGUUCUCUUCAAACAUAUGAUCAUUUUUCCAAGUUCGACCUUCCUCCACAAAAUAUUUUUAACUUAACUCCAAUAUUUACCAAACAUCCCCUGACUUCUGAGAUUCUUUACAAAACCACCCCCAGAAAUUACACUUUAACCUCCCAAUCCAAAAUUAUGACAUUUAACUCCCAGAACCAACACCCUGCUAAAUUAUUAUGGAUUUAGGGAUACAAUAAAUUAUAAUUUACAUCUCGGGGUUUACGGUUUGUUAUUUAUUUACUUAUUUUAUUAAAUUUAUUUUAAUUUCAACCAGAAUGUUACAAUUCUCCUCCACUUAAAUUAGAUUUGGUCCUCGAAAUCAUUUCUUACCAAUCCCAGGAAGCCAACAACCUGAGCAACAAGGCCAUAACCCCGAGCAUACCACAUCCUUCCCAAGGCAAUCGAAACCAACCCUCGCAGGGCUCUCCAACCCGCAGAUGAACGAAUUCCUUCACCAUCCGACAAUAUUCCCUUGAGAAAUAACCACAACAACUCAACCUGAAAUAUGAAGUCUCAAGAGGGUCUGACUCCCUGACAGAUCGCCCAUACUGAACCAAUGUUGAAUCCAUCCCAUUAAUUUCCCAACUGACUACUCCACUUUGGAUAUUCAAGAUUCCUAAUAGAAACAGAAUCACCGACCAAUUAUCCUCGCAGAAAACUUAUACUUGACAAAGGAUCAGAUGAUCCUUCAAGUAGGAGACUCAUCCCAGCAACAGUUAGACUCAGACGAGAGCUUUGCGACAAGAUCAAGUCAUUUACUCUGAGAUUAUCCAAACCCAUCUGCAAGUGAACUAACAUAUCCUCGUAAUAGCAAGGCACUCCACACUCACGUCCCAAAUCUAUAAUACUGCUUUGACUUAUCCUGAUGCCCUUACCAAUAGAACCAUUCCAAGUUACAAUCACAAGAUGUUGAUCUAUCAUCAAAACUGAAUCCAUUCAUUGCUCUUGAACCCUUCAAUCGAUGCCCUCGGCAUAUAGAUACCCUGAUACUCAACCCACAAAACAAAAUUUUUGCACAAAACACUUACGAUCCCUGACUUGAGAUCUUACCCAAAAACCAACCCGAUACUCAAAUCACAACCUGAGAUCCAUAGAUCUGUACUUGUAUUUCACCCAAGACCUUCUGAUAACGUCAACCCUUGCUAGACCGAGAUAUAAAGGUUCCCAAACUAACGUUGCGACUACUAGUCUCGCACCUGGUACAACCACCAGGUUCCUAAGAGUCCAAAUGACAAGGAUACCAAGCCUACAAACCUCUCUGCGUCACGCACUGACCACCCUGUCAAACCUGGCCGAUGUGCCCAAGACACAAACUGAUUCCCCCUUUAUGCUCAUGACCACCUCCAACGAUAGUCUACGUUGACUGGUGAAUGCUACGAUCCUAUCGCAAUCUUUCAACACUUCAAAUCAGCCAUGGUUACCACUCAUGGCCUUACCAAACCUUAACCUCCAUAACCCCACGCACCUCAGUCGAAACCCACAUCUAACGAGGUGUUUGGGUCAUACUUCGAAUUCUAAAACCCUCAACUGACAAAAAUGGGCAGCGAGGCUCUAACACGACCCUCGAUCUAGAUUCAUCCAUAAGCCUGCUAUGCAUAACAAGAAGAUGUCGACUAGUUGUUGGGAGUUCCCUGAACUCCCACUUACACAACCUCAAUCUAAACGACCACUUGGAUCGUCUCUAUUCCUGACCACGAUGUGAAACUUUCCCUAGUUCCACAACCGAUCCAACUCCCAAAAAUUUUGAUCGAUUCUCCCCCACUUGGAUUCAACAAAUCUCUUUCAUCCCAUAAGUCUGAUGGAUUCUCAACCCAUCGAACCUCCUAUAGCAUGAGCCGCCUAUGACAUGCGCUUACAAAAACUAGCGUUCCAUUACUAGCCAAUCUCAACGAUUGCACAACUCCUGGAAUCCGGAAGAAUACUUUUGAGACCUUAACAAGCCUGAUGAUCCAAAUCACCUCCCAUGAUACCAUACCAAUUCCUUGAGUUUUAUGCCGGCAACUAAAAACCAUAACCCUUGCCAUGCAUUGAUGAACAUCCACUUUAAUUUCCAUCCUCAAGGAAUCAAUGAACUCUUACCGACUUUAGUCCAUGCGAAAAUACAAUUCCUUUGCCACAUCCAAUGAUCAAACAACUCACGCAAUGAACACCACCAUCUUCCUGCUACCGUUCCUAUCCUAGAAACAGUAGUCUCUUGAACUCCAAAAUUCCUCCAUAGGCAACUAUUGAUCAUACCCAACCAAAUGAUAGAACCACUGAACCCUCACUUCACUAGAGAACUAUCCCGCUAACCCUGACCAAAGAUCCUCCAAGCAAUACUCUAGAACUGAUCCCAACAAAGACCUCGAACAACAACGGAACACGCUGGACCCACUCCACAAGAUACUACCAUCUAAAUAUUCAUCAAGGACUCCCUGCAUGCAGAAUGGCAUAUCCCAAUCCUGGAUAAUAUAAUCCAGACAAUAGCAGAGAAUCGACCCGAGAUAUAGCUUACGUAACCCAAUCAGAAUCCAGCCUAAUACCAAUUCCCGAAAUCAACCCCGAACAAGAAAGAAGAUAAAAUACCCGCAGGAGCAUCUGAAGAAAUCCUGACUUCCUCUUCCAGAGUUAUCCUCACCAUCCUGAGGACAAGGUACGGAACACCCCUCCGAUCCCAAAUGACAAGAACUAACCAUAAGAUCCUCGAAGCCUUUGGCUUUUAAUGAGCUCCCAACUGACCUACCACAAUCCUGGCCCGAAAUGCCCCAAGAUGACCAUCAAAGAACUCCAAUGUCCCCUUCCUUAGCUGAACCCAAGACCACCAAGGUCCAAUCCGAGACACCUCGAUUAAUCUACGAAGAGAUAACUCGCGUGACUGCGCAUCGACCGUCUCAGUACCUGUUACUGAGCCGGAACUAGAACCUGAACCCCGUUCCCAAAUGCUCAACACCAUACCGAAAAAAUAUACAAAUGAUCUGAAUACACCCAAGAAUCCUCAUCCCACAGGUUUCCUAGAUCCUCCAAGGCUCUCCUCGAUUCAGGUAUGGAUCCUGUGCUUCUAGUAGUAUGGACCCAGUACUACCUUCCAUGCCUAUCCAUACUUUCCUCAAGAAUCCUCCUGAAUCCUCUAAGUCACCUUCUCAAAUCUAAACACCAACAUUCUCUAACCAGCAAAACAACUCCAACUGAAGCAAUCACUAGGUUUUCCAAGGCUCCCGGCCUCACCCUGCCAUAAGUUGUUGAAGAACUCCCCAUAAUGCCAGUCACCCACCUCAUGAAUAUAAUCAUAUGCAACAAAUAUUAGAUAAUCAUUUGAGUAACAGAAUCAUACCUACAACGGUUGACUCAUACAAGAGCUGUGGAAUAGGGUCAAAUCCAUCACUCUGACAUUAUUCAAACCUUUUCACACGUGACUUGUCAUAUUCACUUUGUAGCUAACUCUCAUCACCUAAGAGUUCUACAAAGCACAAAGCAAGAAACAUUCGUGCAGUACCACUCCAAUCCCACCUACUACAACACAUACUAGGAGCUCCCACUCCCUCUACUGAUUUCCCUACACAUACCAACCAAACCCAACCCAACAUCCCAUGCUUCCUAGACUACUAGGCAUCACAUAUCCAACCAACCUAUCAUUGGCUGAUCAAAACUAGCAUGCAAGUCUACAAGCUCAUACAAUAUGCAUACAAAAGCAUCUCUUCUAGCAUUCUAUCAUCCAAAAACUGAGCAGAUCCUUAGCCCUAGCGCGUCCGAAUCCCCCUCAAAUCAAGGCUCUGAUACCAAUUUGUAACAUCCCAAAAUAAUGACAUAAAAUUUUCAUUUAUCAAAUAAAGAAAUCGUUAAUACAUGUCAUUUCCGUAAAACCAUGGUAAUCAAGAUUUAGCAAAACAUCAUUGAAUCAGAGUAAAUCACAGAAUGCGGAAAACAUGUGGUGUGUUCCCUACAACCAUCCCGAGCUCUUCCUUUUGAAAACCAAAGUACCUAAAACAUAAACUUAAAACCGUAAGCACGAAGCUUAAUGAGUUCCCCAAGAUACCACAUACCAUACAUAUCAUAUAACGGGCCCCGCCUAAACAAGAUAAAGGUCCCACCCGCACUCGAAUAAUAAUGAGAUACGGGCCCCGCCCACACUCAAAUAAUAGUGAGAUGUGGGCCCCGCCCACACUCACAUAACGGGCCCUGCCCAAUAAACAUACAUAUACAAGUACAUACAUGUAUCUCACAUACUACAAGUAUAAUAACAUAACCAAAAGAGGGUCAGCCUUGGUGCCUUAGACUCGCUAAACCAGUGAGGAAACCCACCUCGCUCUGUUGAAGUUCUGCGGAUAAAUCUAUGGAUGCUGCCUGAUAGAUCCCUGAACUGUCAAUCAUCUAAACAACACCCUAUUAACAAUUGGGUUCCAAUGCAUAACCAUAAAUCCAUACUUGGGUUAAAAAGAACAUUUUACCCCUAACCUAGCUUGAUCCAAGCCUAAGGCCCAAACUCAUGCUCUGAAGGCCCAAAAGCCAAAUAAUAAACUAAGGCCCAAUUUGUGGCCUAAUUUUCCAAAUUGGGCCCAAACCCCUUACAUGGGCCUUACCCUAAAGUCCAUCCAAAUAUCCUAGUCCAUACACUUGCUCUCAGAUGGCCCAUCAAGAACCAAAACACCUAAGCCCAAUAGAAAGGCCCAACUCAAAGCCCAAACAAAAUUAGGGUUUUCACAAAAAAUGAUGGUUAGGGUUAAUUAAGAACACUUAACUCAUUAAGUCCAUCACUCUACUAGGUCAAUUAUACAAUAUGGUCGGGCAUAAUCCAUAAAUCCAAUCCAACGAUCCAAAACGCAGGUCCCUGCAAGUCCCAAACAAAAGUCACCAAGAUUAGGGUUUUCUAAACCCUAAUUAGGGUUUCCAACCCAAACACAUGCCAACUAGGUCCAAUGUUGAGUUUUUAGAUAAAUUUGUAUUUCACUAGGUCGUGCACCACCCAUUGCCACCUCGGGCGGUGGUGGUCGAUGACGGUCCACGACUGCAGCCACCCGCACAUAACGACGACUCAAGAGAUAAUUCCAACAACCAAACACACACACACACACACACACAAGUUGUACAUCAUUUACAUGCACACCAAUCUCACACAUAGCCACCCCCUCAUGGUGGCUGGUGCUGGCAAAAGAAGGNNNNNNNNNNNNNNNNAAGGCAGUUAGCGGCAGCCACCAUGGUUGGCUGUCAUGGUGGUUCGCCUCACCUCCAGCCAACAUAACACCCCCCCACACAUACACACACACACUUCACAGGUUCUAGCAGCAACACACGUAUAUACACAACACGAGACCACAAACUCUCAGCCACCAAAUAAGCGGUUGACGAUACCGGAAUCAACAAAAACAUCGACCAAAGGCUACUAGCGGCAACAACAAUGUACACGACGCCAUACUCACAUAAAGGAAUGAAUGAGAGGAAGGUGGGUUGUGGUUAGCCUUAUCAAGAGCUUCCAGUCAUUCAUGACCCAUAGAUCGACGUUCACAGCUCAUUCUUUGGUCUUCGUCGGUUGUCCCCGCUGCUUACAACGUCACCGGCAGCAGGGUUAUGGUGAUGGUGUUCAACGGCAAGGUAGUAGGUGGUAGAUUGGCGAUUGGACUCAGCAAUGCAGGCGAUGGAUGAGAAUUCUCCAAAAAUGGUGGCGCCUAGAGAAAUGAGCUAGAAUUAGGGUUAAUACAAAAGGAAGACGGGGGGAGGGGGAGGGAAGCUGGUUAAUCCCGUGUUCACUUCAAACAUAUGAUCAUUUUUCCAAGUUUGACCCUCCCCCACAAAAUAUUUAUCAACUUAACUUGAAUAUUUACCAAACAUCCCUUGACUUCUGAAAUUCUUUACAAAACCACCCCAGAAAUUACACUUUAACCUCCAAAUCUAAAAUUAUGACAUUUAACUCUCGGAACCAACAACCUUCUAAAUUAUUACGGAUUUAGGGCUACAAUAAAAUAUAAUUUACAUCUGGGGGUUUAGGGUUUAUUAUUUAUUUACUUAUUUUAUUGAAUUUAUUUUAAUUUCAACCAGAAUGUUACACAAUCAACCAUCAGGUUGGAAUACCCUCAGUCCUCAACCAUCGGGUUGGAAUGACAACAUACCAUGGGUCAAAUCAACCAUCGGGUUGGAAUAUCCUCAGCCCUCAAAAUGUCGGCACCUACAACAUGUAUUAGAGACAUUAAGGACGGAGAAGUUAUAUGUGAAGUUCUCAAAAUGUGAGUUUUGGAUACGGAAAGUCAACUUCCUCGGUCACGUGGUCAACAAGGAAGGGAUACAUGUGGAUCCCUCCAAGAUCAAGGAAAUUGAAAGCUAGGCAACACCAAUAACACCUAUAGAAAUCCAUCAAUUUUUAGGCCUCGUUGGCUACUACCUAAGGUUCAUACAAAACUUCUCUAAGAUCGCUAAACCCCUCACCACCUUGACUCAGAAAGGUGUAACCUUCAACUGGAAAGAGAAGCAUGAAGCUUCUUUCCAAACACCGAAACAAGCUCUAUGUAGUGCACCGAUCCCGCCUCUCGCAGAAGGGACAAAAGAUUUUGUAGUCUACUGCGAUGCGUCCAAACAAGGUCUAGGUUGUGUACUUAUGCAAUAAGGAAAGGUCAUUGCCUACGCCUCAAGGCAACUAAAGACUCACGAGGUCAACUACACAACACAUGACCUCAAACUAGGAGCAGUAGUAUUUUCCCUGAUGAUCUGGAGGCACUACCUUUACGAUACGAAGUGCACAAUCUUCACAGACCAUAAAAGUCUCCAACACAUCCUCAACCAAAGAGAGCUCAAUAUGAGGCAAAGAUGAUGGGUGGAGCUACUAAAUGAUUACGAAUGUAACAUUCGUUAUCAUACAUGCAAGGCCAAUGUAGUAGCAGAUUCCUUGAGCCGAAAGGAAUACUCGGGCCGCCGAGUAAAAUCAUUAACCAUGACUAUCCAUUCACACCUAUCCACGCAGAACAAAGAGGCCCAGUUGGAAGCCUUGAAACCUGAAAAUGUCACAGGUGAAUCCUUAAGAGGAAUGGAUAAAAAUCUAGAAGUCAAGGGUGACGGAGUUCGUUAUCUCAUGAAUCGAAUUUAGACACCAAAGUUUGGUGGAUUCAGAGAUGUUGUCAUGAACGAGGAUCACUAAACUCAUACUCCGUUCAUCCUAGUUCAGACAAGAUGUACAUGGACCUUAAGAAACUUUAUUUGUGGCCGAACAUGAAAGCCAAAAUCGCUACCUAUGUGGGUAAGUUCCUGACUUUCGCCAAGGUCAAGGUAGAAUAUCAGAAGUCCUCGGGUUUGCUGCAAUAACCAGAAAUACCCGAGUGGAAGUAGGAGCGGAUAACCAUGGAUUUCAUAACCAAGCUACCCAAGACAACAGGUGGACUUGACAUCAUCUGGGUGAUCGUUGACAGGUUGACCAAAUCCACACACUUCUUACGAAUAAAAGAGACGAACAAGAUGGAGAAACUGAUCAGAACAUACAUUAAAGAGAUCGUACGACUACAUGGUGUGCCAAUAUUCAUGAUCUCCGACAGGGAUACUAGAUUUACCUCAUGAUUCUAGUAGUCACUACAAAAAUCCCAGGGAACUAGGUUGGACAUGAGUACGGCCUACCACCCACAGAGCGACGGGCAGUGCGAAAGAGCUAUCCAAACAUUGGAGGAUAUGUUGAGAGCUUGUGUGAUAGACUUUGGUAAAGCUUGGGAUACCCAUUUACCACUAGUCGAAUUCUCAUACAACAAUAGCUAUCACACUAGCAUCAGAGUUGUUCCAUUCGAAGACCUCUAUGGCUGCAAGCGAAGAUCACCUAUGUGUUGGACUGAAGUGGGUGACACGCAACUACCAAAGGGGCAAGUUCCUGACAGCACUCUCACCGGCCCUGAGAUCAUAAGGGACACAACAGAUAAGAUCAUCCAAAUUCGAGAAAGACUGAAAGCAUCUCGAGAUCGUCCAAAGAGCUACACAGAUAAACGACGCAAACCCUUAGAAUUCCAGGUUGGUGACCGCGUACUAUUAAAAGUCUCACCCUGGAAGGGAAUGACACGUUUUGGAAAGCGUGGGAAACUGAAUCCAAGAUAUAUCAGACCAUUUGAGAUCUUCGCAAGGAUUGGUCUGGUAGCUUAUAAACUUCUACUACCACAAGAACUUAGUAAUGUACACCCCACCUUCCAUGUGUCCAAUCUAAAGAAAUGUCUGUCCGACGAAACUCUUGUAAUCUCACUCGAUGAAAUCGAGAUAAACAAGAGUCUACACUUCGUAGAAGAACCUGUGGAAAUUAAGGAUAAGGAGAUCAAGAGAAAAAAACAAAGCCAAAUACCAAUGGUAAAGGUCUGUUGGAACGCCAAGCGAGGACCUGAGUUCACAUGGGAACGAGAAGACCAUAUGAAAAAAAAGUACCCACAUUUGUUCCCUAGCUCAUGAGUAACCACUCUAGAACUAAUUUUGGGAUGAAAUUCCCUCUAACAGGGGUAUGAUGUGACAACUGGAAAAUUUCUAGAGAAAUCAAGGUCUAAACUUUAACCAUGUACAAGUGAAUUCGCAACGUAACUUUGAUGCAAUAGAACUUUGAAAGCGAAAACUUCAUGUUUAUAUAAGUUAAUAUACAAAUAUAUAUAAAUGGAAAACCAUGUUGAAAUGAGCUAUUGUAAACACAAGUCAAAAUGUUAAGUCUAAAACCAUAAAAUAAUACAUUACACUUGAGUUUUCAUUUUUAGGAAUCUAGUUAAAAAGGGUUUUUCGUUUUUAGAAUCUAGGAUUGUCACACACCAAAACUGGAAUGGCGGAAACGUUCGGGGGUGGAGGACGUUAUGUACAUUAUCAUAACAAUGCAAAAUAGUAAACAAGCAACAACAUCAUCCAUUGCAUUAAUAGUAUAAUUUAAUACAUGUGUGUUAUUUCAUAGUAAAAAGACAUCAAAUAAAGUAAAAAAUAAAAGACAAGUCUUAAACAUGCUUCGUCUUCUCAAAAACCUGGUCGACUGUACCUGUCUAUUGGUGACCGGAGAAUACAAGUUAUUUUGAAAGAGUUUAUCCGCAUUAAAGCAGGUGAGUUCAUAAGUAUUUAGUGUCAAUGUUUGUAUAAGUUUGAUGAAAACGUUUGUAAAUAUUCAAUGUAAAUGUUUGUAGUAAAUGUUUGUAACUCCUAGAAAAUCCUAUAUUUUCUACUAAACGUAGCCUUCUACCAAGGCAUCAAAUUUUUGUAUGUUUGUUUCUUGUAAAAGUGUGUAUUUUCCCAAGUGUGACUAUCAUUAACCAAAAAUAUAGUUUUUACAUCUCCGUUUAUGUGAGAAGAUCUCAAUGUGAAUGCAAUGGGAAAAUAAUAAAGUAUUGUAGUGUUGUAUUAUGGUAACUAUUGUUGUACUAACUACCUUAAAUCGGUUGUUAAUUAAGGUAUAAUGUGAUAUGAUUGCACCAUAAUAUCGACUAAAAACACGACGAUGAAAGACGUAGGAAGAAAUGACAUUUGGCACCCGUAGACUUGCAAGUCCCACUGUAGUGAAUAGCAAGGUGUAGGAUAGUUCAAUCCAAUAUAGAGCUAUACACAAAUUCACGCUCUCCCUCUAGGAGACUCUGGAUACAAAACGAGCCAUGGCAGGUGAUGCCAUGCCCGGAAACUAUGGCUCACAUUUAUGUUAUAGUAUUCUUGUAUAUGUAUUGUAUAUACUAGUGUAAUGUACGUUCUCUCUGUCUAGUAUGUAGUAUGUUCUCUUUGUUUCUCAUCAUAGUAUGUUCUCCUGUAUAAUGUAUAGUAUGUUCUCUUAGUUUCUCAUUAUAGUAUGUUCGUUCUGUUUCUCAUAUAGUAUAUUUGUUUUGUUUCUCAUAUAGUAUAUCCUCUUAGUUUCCCAUAAUAGUAAGUUUGUUUUGUUUCUCAUAUAGUAUAUUUGUUCUGUUUCUCAUAUAAUAUACCCUCUUAGUUUCUCAUAAUAGUAAGUUUGUGCUGUUUCUCAUAUAGUAUAUUUCUUAUGUUUCUCAUACAGUAUGUCCUCAUAGUUUCUCAUAAUAGUAAGUUUUUAUUGACUCAUGAAUGAACUGACUCUUGUAUGUUUCGUUAUACUAGAAAUAAUGAGUAGUGUCUUCCUAAACUAUACCUAUUAUAGUUUACUAGUAAUUUCUGUAGUUUGAAGGAAUGAAGGUAUGCCUUUGCUACCCAAAGGUACUGAACUGAUUGAUAGUACUUUUAUAUCUACGUAUGUAUACAUAAUAUAUAACUAAUAUUUAGAUGACAUUCGGACAAAUAACCGAUACCCUAAGGCCACAUCCAAACAAGGAAAAGGAAAUAAAGCGAGUGAUCAGUCCUAAGUCCUUUAAACAUUACUUAUAUAACUAUACAUAUAUAGACAUGCUUUUGACAAUAUAUAAGUUCAAAAAGAAGUUUUGUAAAACAUUUGAAGAGUUUAAUUAAUAAAUAUUGAUGACUUGAUGUCAAUUUAUAAAACGAUUUAAAAGCAGUUUGAUUGACAAGACAAUUUAAAGUAUAAGAAAUCAUUUGUUUGAAACACACUUAAAGUAUAAGAAAUCAUUUGUUUGAAACAUAGUUAUAAAUCACUCGUAAUUGAUUUUAUAUAACUACAUGUUUUCUACUUGUAUUCCCCCCCCCCCCCAAUAAAAGUAUUUAAAAUCAUUUAAAAGGUAGAUUAAGGGGUAUGAACUCACCUAUAGUGAGCGGUUUGGAUGAACGAGUGGUGUAGGAUGCUAAAUGCCAAGUGAAGACUUGAGCACACACACAGAUCCUAUUUAUCAAAUAAUGAUACAUAUAAGCCUCUAAUUAGUGUUUUAAACAACUAAUCAUAAGAGAUAACACCCUAAUAGACUAAGAAACUCUUAGAUUGAAGGGAUAUAAUCAUAUAUGACUGCAUAACUAGGGUGUAUGGCUACCCUAUUGAGUUUACGGUCCAAAGAGGUAUGCCAUAGGGAGUUCACGGUCCUUGGAGUUUACGGUUCUUGGGUUCACGGUCUCAUGGCCUUACAGUCAUGGAGUUCAUGGUCUAAGGAGAUCCAACCGAAAACUCACCAAAUAUUUCACGAAUGAUGGUUUUUAAGGGCUUCAAUCAAAGGCAUCGGAUUCUAGGGACCAUGCUUAGCCUUAGGAAGGGUAAAGGCUAUAAGAGCACCCUUUAUAAGGGUUUACGGUCUAUGAAUAUGCACUAGACCGUAAACACCUUUUGUUCUUGAUUUUCUUGAUGUUUUCUAGGUGUUUAACAAGUGUUUCAAGUAUAUAACAAGCUAAGGGUAGUGUACUUACUUAUUAGAAGCUCGCAAGGGUGAUUAGGAUCAAAGAACACUAGUGUGUGUUCUUGGUGUUCUUGGUGAAAUGAAGAACACUUGAAGAUCUAUCAAAAUGAAGAGAUUUCAUGGAUGAAAUCAUGUAUAAUCACUAGAUAUAGAAGGAUAUCCACUAAUCAAGGGAAGAAAUACUUACAAUCUUGCAGAUCUAAGAGAAAAGUCGGAUGAUACUUGAGAGAGAAUGAGUUCUUUGGCUUGAAAUGGUAAAAGUGAUUGAAAAUGACUAAGGUUUGAAUAUAUAGCAUGGAGUUUUUCGGCCACCUUGACCGUAAACUCAAGGUCGUGACCGUAAACUCCUUUUGAGGAGGUUUACGGUUUGCUAGAUAGUUUAGAACUUAAACAGACACUUUCAAACAUUGAUUCCUUUGAUGCACUAGUCUCAGAAUACUCAAAAUAGACACUAAACAGUUCUAAAAGAUAGCAACAUGAGCCUAACAUUGAUAUAUUUGAAUGUUUAUACAAGCUAGAAAUUUCGGGUUAUCACAAGGAUCAAAGGGGUUUUCGGUUUCAUGAGGUCGAAAUCUCAUUUGUGGCUACUACUAGGACCGAAAUCUCCCUUUCUUGGGUGAUGCCAAACCGAAAUCAAAGGGGAUUUCGGUAAUUGGUUGUCCAAAAUCACCCAAAAGGUGGCCAAAUGGUGCCACCUGAUUGGUUAAUUACCUUCCCAAUGUGAUAUAUUACAUUUACCAAUGUAGACAUCACUUCACCUUAUCCUUUCCUUCAUAUAUAUAUAUAUAUAUAUAUAUAUAUACACGAUUUAGGGACUAUUUCUAAACUUCAUUAUCAUUUAAACAUUUCCCCGUUUGAUUCUCUCAAAAUCAAACCCAUAUUCCUCUCAAAACACAAGUUCAAACAUCCCCAGGAGACUUUCCUUCAAAGUUGAUCUUAAAGAUUUUGGGUAAGUUUCCUCAUUAUCUAGUGUUUUUACUAAUGGGUUUUGAGCAAAAGAACAUCUUAUGUGCACAUGCAAAACCCUAAAGCAUUUGGAUCUAGGUUUCUCUAUUGUACAUGCAAAUUAUCCAAAGCUUGUAAACCCUAAACUAGCAUACUUUGAAAAACGAGAUAUAUAACAAAACAAGUUUAGAUGAUACCUUUCAAUAGUUGCAAGAAUCUUUGAUCUUCAAGAAACUUAGUGUCACAAGUGUAACACCUCUAAUGGAUUACAAACACCAAAGCAAGGAGAUGAUCUAGAAGAGAGAAGGAGGGAGGAACAAUUUCGACUAUAGUAACUCUAGGGUUUCUUGGUGUAGCUGAAACUGAAGCCCUAGGGUCCCUUAAAUAGCUGAGCUGCUUGGGUUUCAGUCAAAACACUAAUUGGAUUACUUAGGCCCAAAGCAGCUUAAGAACCUUCUGGAAUAAGGCCCCAAUGGACGAAAUUAGAGUGGGCUUCCACUCCAAAUUUCAUCCCCCUUAUGCCCAUGAGGAUUCAUAGCCCAAAUUCAAUUAUCUUAUAAUUGACUAUUCCAGUCCCCCUUUAUUUAAUUAAUCUCUUUUAUCCACAUAAUUAAAUCUUAACUAAUUCUUGACCAAUAUUAGUCAAACUAUAUGAUUUCUCUUUUAAUAUAUUAUUCAUAUAUUAUAUUAAUAAACCAUAAUAACAUUUCUCUCUCUCUCUCUCUCUCUCUCUCUCUCCAUAAAUCAUCUUGUCUAGUUGCUUUGGUGAAGGCAACCCAAAAUGACCAUGCAGAACCGGGUCAAGUACAUACCAAAUAUAGUUACGGGCUUAGACACUAAUCUAACAGUCUCCCACUUGGAUAAGUCUAGCAACUAUAAAUGCAAGUACGAGUUCAGGAUCUGAUUAGCAAUCGUAGCUCUCAAAGAUGUUGUGAACUCUGAUCUUAUCAUUAACCUGUCCUUUAGAUAAGGGAUCGUUCAGUCCUCCGUUCUAGAUAUCGUGCGGAAAAUUACAUGGAACAUAGUCAUACUUAUUGUCCAGAAAUUUGUUUCUUGAUCUCUGAUUCGUCUGACAUAGAACUUAAUUGAACACAUCAAUUCAGUCCUGACCAGGCCCGACAUAUAAUUCAAACCAAAUCAUCGAGGGGCCCAGAUAUCGCAUUUACCCUCUUAGGAUAAAGGAACAGAUAAACUUCGAUAUAUAUGCAUUUACCAUUCACUCAUCAAGUCAUGCACAACAAUGUGUUUUAUAACGUCUAGUUACUGAUGUGUUUACGCAUUAUCAAUGCACAACCAACUUGCAAACAAUAAACCAUAUAUCUAGGUUUCAAGACCAUAUGAUAUUAUCGUCUUGCGAUCACUUGUGAUAAAUUCCAUGAAGGGAUACCAACAAGCGUGGGUUUAAUCCAAUGCUCAAAGCUUAUUUAUAAGCACUCAUGAACGUUGCAACAAACUUUUUCUAUGUCUAAUACACUUUAGAUAGUCUACAAACCAAUCCUUGAAAGUCUUAUUUCACACCUACUUCCAAAGUAUGAGCGACUGUGGAUUAUUUGAAUAAUCUUAUUAUUCACGAAGUCAAAACACGCAAAAUGAAACAAUAGGUAAACAAAUUAACAUAAAACAGUAACUUUACUCAUAAAUAAUACUCCUUUAUUUAAUCAUCAAAUGUUAAUUACAAUUUAUCUAUUACACGUUUCUAAGCUAUGUAAUCUAAACUAAUAUCGUCCUUCAACCCCUAGCGUGCUGCAAGUGCUUAACCCUACUCAGUCCCUUUUUAAGGGGAUCUGUUGGGUUAUCCUCUGAGUAUACCCUCUUCACUACGAGGAGUCCCUCUUCCACCCAAUGUCGAAUAAAUUGAUAUUUCCUGUCGAUAUGUUGAGAUCUACCUUGAUCCCUCGGUUCCUUGGUUAAGGCAACCGUUCCUUCAUUAUCGCAGAAAAUUUCCAUGGGCUCCUUUAUGGAUGGCACAAAUCCAAGUUCUCCAAUGAAGUUCUUCAACCAAAUCGCCUCCUUUGACACUUCGCUCGCAGCUAUGUACUCUAAUUCGUACAUUGAAUUAGCUACGGUCUCCUACUUGGAAGAUAUCCAGGUUACUGCUCCUCCAUUCAAGGUAAAGACCCAACCCGACUGAGAACGGUAGUGGUCUCGGUCGGUCUCUGGCGUCACUAUACCCUCGCACCCUUAAGUCAUCACUCCCACUGAGGACUAUAAGCCAUUCCUUGGUCCUCCAAAGGUACUUAAGAGUAUUCUUAACUACGGUCCAAUGUGCUCUGCCAAGGUUCCCUUGAUAUCUGCUGAACAUGCUCAAAGCGAAGGCCACAUUAGGGUGAGUACAAGUCAUAGCAUACAUGAUCGAGCUAACUACGGAAGCAUAAGGUACUCGGUUCAUCUCUGUUGUCUCGACUUCGGUACUCGGGCUUUGAGUCUUACUCAAUUUGGCAUUACUUUGGAUCGGUAACUCCACUUUCUUGGAAUUCUCCAUACUAAAACGCUUUAGUACCUUGUCCAAGUAAGUAUUCUGACUAAGUCCUAUUAGUCUUUUUCUCCUGUUUCUCACUAUCCUUAUCCCUAGAAUAUAAACAACCUCCCCUAGGUCCUUUAUAGUGAAACACUUCCCAAGCCAGGACUUAACAUCCUACAGGGUCGGGAUGUUGUUUCCUAUGAGUAGUAUGUCAUCGACAUACAAUACGAGGAAGCUAAGUAUACUCCCACUAGCUUUGACAUAUACACUUAAUUCAUCCUUGCUUUGCAGGAAUCCAAACUCUUUGACUUUCUCGUCGAAACAAAGAUUCCAUCUGCGAGACGUUUGAUUUAAUUAAUAAAUGGAUUUCUCAAGCUUACACACUCUAUUAGGAUGCUUCACAUCGACAAAACCCUCUGGUUGACUCAUGUAAACAUCUUCAGCCAACUUCCCAUUAAGGAAAGAGGUUUUGACGUCCAUCUGCCAUAUUUCAUAGUCAUGAAAUGCAGCCAUGGAUAGCAUCAUCCAAAUAGACUUUAUCUUCGAAACCGGUGAGAAGGUCUCAUCAUAGUCAACUCUGGGAGUUUGAGUAAAGCCAUUCGCAACCAAUCGCUCCUUAUAAGUGUGUAUUUUCCCAUCCAUGUCGUUCUUCAUCUUGAAGAUCCAUUUGCACCCGACCAUCUUACGACCUGGCACAUUAUCAACCAAAUUCCAAACUUUGUUGUCAUACAUGGAGUAAAUCUCGUUGUCCAUAGCCUCUUUCCAUUUCGCAGACUCCGGGCCUGCCAUGGCUUCCUUGUAGUUGUUAGGUUCAUCCAAAUUUACUAGUGUACUAUCACUAAUAAACUUAUCCCCUUCAUUAGUAAUAUGGAAACCAUAAAACUGGGGUGUAACACUAACUCUUUCGGAACGUCUAAGAGGUAAGGACUCGUCAAUCGGUUCAACAUGAGUUUCCUCAGAUGUUAAACGCCAGUGUUAGAGGUUCCUUCAUCGUUCGAUUCUUGAAGCUCUUCAAGAUCGAUUUGCCUCUCACUCUCGGAAAACCCCUCUCCUCGCAACGAAGACAACACUUUCACUCGGUCUAUAAAAGAGAUAUCCAAAGGACUACUGCAGGUAGCCGCUGAAAAUAUACCGCUCACUACGAGGUUCGAGCUUGCCAUGAGUCUCUCGUCUUACGAAAGCCUCGCACACCCAAACCUUGAUAUGUGCCAACAAGGGAGCUUUCCCCGUCCACAUCUCGUGAGGUGUUUUGGCAACCUUCUUUGUAGGGAUUAGGUUAAGGAUAUGCGCGACAGUCUCCAAGGCAUACCCCCAUAAUGAGAUAAGUAGUGAAGCACGACUCAUCAUGGAACGAACCAUGUCAAGUAAGGUUCGAUUACACCUCUCAGCUACACCAUUCAACUGCGGUGUCCUAGGUGGCGUCAAUUGCGAAACCAUUCCACAUUCCUUGAGGUAGUUGUGGAAUUCAAGACUAAGGUACUCUCCACCUCGAUUGGAUCGAAUCUGUUGGGUUUUGAGCAUUCUAACACUCCUAAGUGUACAUGCAACCCUAAAUACCUUGGAUCUAUGUUUUCUCUAUUAUACAUGCAAAUAUGAACUUCCAAGGUAUUAUCCUAAUCUAGCAUACAAAACAAUGAAUAUAACAAGAUAGAAUACAUACCUCUUUGAUGUAGAAAGUCUUCAUGAAGCUUGAGUGCCUAGUGCCUCAAGUGUGACACCUCAAAUGGUUCACACAACACCAAAUACACUUGGAAUAACUUGAGAUAAUUCUACACUUCAUGAAAAUCGGCUAGCCCUUCUUUUACACACACUAGUGGCCGAUUUUGGUCAAGAAUAAGACGCAUAUAUAGUUAGGGUUACACCAUGUAAACCCUAAUAAACAUGGCCUUUCAUUUCCAUGAUCCAUGGAUACAAAAACACCAUGGAGCAUCCAUGGAGCAUCAUAUGGGUUUUUAGCCCAACUAGAUAAUCCAUGGAGCAUUAUUUACACAAUCAACCCAUAUAUUUAAUUAGUCUUCUUUUGAUCACUUAAUUAAUCCUAGAUUAAUUCUUGAUCAAUACUAAUUAAAUAAUCUUAUUAUUAUUAUUAUUAAUAUACUAGAACUUAUAAUAUAUUAAUAACCAUAAGUGUCUUAUUUCUCUCAUUAUAGUCUAUCCAAGUGCAUGAUGGUAUGCAACCCAAAUGGACCAUGCCGGGUCGGGUCAAGUCUUACCAAUUAUAGUUAUGGACUUAGACAUUAAUCCAACAGUCUCCCACUUGGAUAAGUCUAAAACUAUUAUUGCGUAUGACUUCAGGAACCAACUGGCAAUCGUAGCUCUCAAAAGCUUCUGUCGAACUCUGACCUUGUAGAUGAACUCUGACCUUUGUCAAUGACUUGUCCAUUAGAUAAGGGAUCAUAUAUUCCUCCAUUCUAGAUAUCAUAUGGACUGAGACAUGGAUUAUAAUCAUUCUCUCUGUCCAUUUGUUGUUUCCCGAUUUCCGAUUUAUGACGACUGACUAAUUGAACAAAUCAAAUCAGUCCUGGCCCGGCCGAGCACUUCCAUUUGUCAUCAUCAAAUCAUCGAGGGGCCCACAGAUAUCGCUUUUAUCCCGAAGGUAAAAGGAAUGGAUAAACUUCGACUCAUAUGGCUUGUUCUACUACUUGUUGAAUCAUACACAAAGGCACGUUUUAUAACAUCGAGUUACCAAUGCGUUUUCAUGCAAUCAAUGUACUAUCAACUCAUAGUAACAACUCAUAUCUCUAGGUUUGAAGAAUAUAAGAUAUUAUCGUGUCAUGAUCACUCGUGAUUAAAAUCCAUCAAGUGAUUCCAAUGAGCGCGGGUUGAAUCCAAUACUCAGAACUUAUGAGCACUCAUGAGUGUUGUAGCCCUUUGUCCAACACCUUAGACCUCUACAAGCCAACCCAUGACAGUCUUAAUUCAUAUCUACUUCCAACAUAUGACCGACUGUGGAUGGUUUGAAUAACUUAGUCAUUCCGGAAGAAUAACCCAGUUUAUUCGGGAAGUCAAAACAUGCAAAGUGAAACACAAUAAUAAUCGAAUCCAAUAUGGUCUCAAAACUUAUGAACAUAAAUAAAACACCUUUUAUUUAUCACCAUAUGAUUACACAUUAUUCAUUGUAUACUGUUUCAGCUAUCAACUUUAUUCUUGAAUUUAAAACAAUAGUUGUCCCAUGCUCCAAGCAUGUACACUAUGUUUUCUAAACACUAGUCAUGCCAUACACCAAGUAUGCAUACUAUGUUUGUCUAUGAUCUUUACUUUGUGAACUAGAUCCAUUGAACAUAACUUCAAUGAUUCUCUUUUCACACGUCCCAAAUCUUACUGCAAAUGCAAGAAUUCCAAAUUCAUGCCAUUUACUGAAAUCUAUUAGAUUCUAAGCUUAUAUGCAUUGAUCUUCUUGUAAUGAUUACGCACAAAGUCACAAGGACUUGACAACAAACAUUAGAAAGUAUUCCAAAGGAGUUCAGCUCCUUGGAAACAUCCUUCUUGCAUUAAGUUUCUUAAUCUUACAUAGAUUGAAAUUUCUAACUUUGAAACAUUUCUAGAUUCCAUUUUGACUAUCACUUCUGAACAAGAGUUGCCUCCUUACAGAUUAUGUCAAUAUGGUCCUUCCAGAAUUAUCACUAUACUUCCAACUGUCCUUGAGCAACCAAUCUUUGGUAAACCUUAGAUUGUCCUCGACAAUUGUUUAAUCCUUUUAGUCAUAUCCAGUUCUAAACCUUUUCCCUUCUUAAUGCCCCAGGCAUUUGGAAAAUUUUAGAACGGAUGAAUAUAGCACAUGUAAUCAAUCCUAUAUCCGAAGCAUAUGGGACACAAUUCAUCAUAUCUCACAUAAAGACUAAACCAGUCUUUUGCUAUACUAUUUCCAUUUCAAUUUGCCAAGUUCUCAUAAUUCAGAUUAUGAAAAGGGAUGUCGUAAUCAUAAUCGAAUUUUAGAAUGCAAAUAAUGGACCCAUAUACAUAAUUUCCUUAUGUUGAGCCAUUCCAACAUGAAAUUCAUAUAUAUAUAUCCUUGACUAAAUGAUUAAAACCUCAUGAUCUAAGCUUAUAGAUUUGAGAUGAAGUAUAAUUUCCUCUCCCUUAAUUAUAGCAAAACAACUUUUUCCCAAUUGAAACUUUUUGUUUUCUAUAAUUAACAUUGCUAACUUGCAAUACUUAUCAUAAUUAUCAUGCUCCCACUAACAUGAUGAUUAUUAGCAUAACACUUAUGCUCCCACUAGCUUUGACAUGUACUCAGAAAUCAGCUGACUUUCUUACCAAAGUUCAGAUUUCUGAUACUAGAUUGUUUUGAUAAGUCUUUAUCAAAAUCAUACACCUUCCCUUAGAUAGCACACUUGUGUAUCUAAACAAUUAUGAAGAGGGAUGCCGUAAUCAUAAUGUUUAGACCUUUUUGCCACUUCU